UGCGCGGCUUCCGUUGGCCUCUUUGUCUUGCGGGAUGUCGGCUGUGAGCUCGUGCUCUGUUGGGGCCAGCAUGCUGGGUGGACAGGAGAGCAUUAUGCGACUUGUGGCGGUGACCUGAAGACUUCCCUGGGGAGCUGAGUGUGAUGGAUUCUGAUGUAUGGAGGAUGGGGCUAGUGAACUGCACAAUAGCAGAUGGCACCUUGUCUGCAGCGUGGGGCCUGUGCUCUACAUGAGUAGGCAUGGCGCUAAUCUGUAGAGGAUGGGAUCAAGUUGCCAGACAUGAGCAGUGAUGGCGUCUAAUCUCUGUAAGGGAAGGUCGGCUGCCAGACAUGAUCGGCAAAUCUAUCAUGGACAGAUUAUGAACAAUGGAAGACCAGGUCCUCCUCAGCCUCAGAACCCUAACAUGAUGUCUGUGGACCCUGAGGCAGACUGCAGAUGUAUUUCCUUCACUCAUGGGGUAGGGGGCAGUCCUGUCUGCUGCUAUGCUGCCCUCUGCUGGAAUCUGAAUAAACAAGUUGUUUAUGCAAACUG
Molecule: long non-coding RNA, 531 nt
Organism: Bufo gargarizans (Asiatic toad)
Lineage: Eukaryota; Metazoa; Chordata; Amphibia; Anura; Bufonidae
Exons: 7
Source: RefSeq, a predicted model, not a curated record